Molecule: long non-coding RNA, 196 nt
Organism: Megalops cyprinoides (Indo-Pacific tarpon)
Lineage: Eukaryota; Metazoa; Chordata; Actinopteri; Elopiformes; Megalopidae
Exons: 3
Source: RefSeq, a predicted model, not a curated record
AAAAAUAUCUGGAGUGAUGCAAACAGACUUCAGAUUCCAGGUUGCCAGAUAGAAAGAGAUGAGAAACCUAAAGUCAAUAAUUUUGUAGAGGUGCUGAAGAACAAGCCCACUGUGGAUUGCACUGUCUCAGUUUGUAGAGUGAUAAAGUGCAGUGUGUACCUGAGGAAGGAUGGUCAUUAUUCUUACAACUUCUCUG